AUUUCCUUUUGAGUACCACUUUUUUUCUUAAUAACAGAUUUUAGUGGCUAUACUGAUGGUACAGAUGAAAACUGUCAUAAUCUGAAAAGGGAGGAUUUUUGUGUGUGUCCUCCUCCUAUAUGAAAUGGUUCAAUAGAAAAAA
Molecule: small nucleolar RNA, 142 nt
Organism: Choloepus didactylus (southern two-toed sloth)
Lineage: Eukaryota; Metazoa; Chordata; Mammalia; Pilosa; Megalonychidae
Product: small nucleolar RNA SNORA29
Exons: 1
Source: RefSeq, a predicted model, not a curated record